UAAUACGGAGGGUGCGAGCGUUAAUCGGAAUUACUGGGCGUAAAGCGCGCGUAGGUGGCGUGAUCAGCCGGUUGUGAAAGCCCCGGGCUCAACCUGGGAAUGGCAUCCGGAACUGUCACGCUAGAGUGCAGGAGAGGAAGGUAGAAUUCCCGGUGUAGCGGUGAAAUGCGUAGAGAUCGGGAGGAAUACCAGUGGCGAAGGCGGCCUUCUGGACUGACACUGACACUGAGGUGCGAAAGCGUGGGUAGCAAACAGG
This 256-nucleotide ribosomal RNA is filed under the name uncultured archaeon. RNAcentral describes it as "partial 16S ribosomal RNA". It matches the Rfam family "Bacterial small subunit ribosomal RNA", at positions 521 to 776 of the family's 1533-position model. The record is from RNAcentral.